UGAUGAUAGAUCUCCAAGAACAGGGCUGGACAGCCCUGCUUAAGCUGUUGUAGGAAAAAGAAAGAGAAUUUGCCUUGCCGUGGGAGGACCGCCUGGAGGAGGCCCAUGAGAGGAAGAGGGCCAAGCAUGAAGACCAUGUCAUCGACUGCCGUUGACACUUCUGCUGUACACGCCGGACAGCUCCCGCAGCGCCUGUAGCUGCAUCGUGAACUGGUCCGCCUGACAGAGAAGACAAAGAAGAGGAGAAGAUGAAGAGCGCUUCAGCUUUUCGGCAAAGAAACGCGACCGGCCCGCGUCCGCGGUUCAGCGCGUUGGCCUCAGCUGCAAAACAACUGGAUUCUAUUCAGUCUUCCGUUCACCCUGUUCAUGUAUGCAAUGGUGCAAAUAAAGAUGGCAGAUCUGU
Long non-coding RNA from Anguilla rostrata (American eel), 403 nucleotides. RefSeq lists it as uncharacterized. The transcript has 3 exons. NCBI's taxonomy places the organism in Eukaryota, Metazoa, Chordata, Actinopteri, Anguilliformes, Anguillidae. The record is from RefSeq and is a predicted model, not a curated record.